Molecule: ribosomal RNA, 253 nt
Filed under: uncultured bacterium
Lineage: Bacteria
Description: partial 16S ribosomal RNA
Rfam family: Bacterial small subunit ribosomal RNA
Source: RNAcentral
GACAGAGGGUGCAAACGUUGCUUGGAUUUACUGGGCGUAAAGCGCGUGUAGGCGGGCGACUAAGUCGGAUGUGAAAUCCCUGGGCUCAACCUAGGAACUGCAUUCGAAACUGGUCACCUAGAGUGAUGGAGAGGAAAGCGGAAUUCCCGGUGUAGAGGUGAAAUGCGUAGAUAUCGGGAGGAACACCCAUGGCGAAGGCAGCAAGCUGGGCGACACCUGACGCUGAGGCGCGAAAGCGUGGGUAGCAAACAGG